CCGAAGAUGUCAGCAUCUUCUGGCCGAGAUUGCGAAAAAGUCUUAUUUGCUAUCCGUAGGACUCAAAGCCCGAUAGCAUGCAGUGACUAACGUCGUCACCAGCACCUUUCCUGGAGAUGUCAGCAUCUUCCGGCCGAGACUGCAAAAAAAUUCUUAUUUCCUAUCCGUAAGACUCAAAGCCCAAUAGCAUGCAGUGACUAACAUCAUCACCUGCACCUUCCUAGGAGAUGUCUGCGUCUUCCGGUUGGGACUGCAAAAAAGUCUCAUUUGCUAUCCGUAAGACUCAUUUGUGUACUUUCAUCUUCAUCUUGUUCACUUUCGAUUUUCUUUUUGUUCGUUUUUAAUGUGUUUUAA
Molecule: unclassified non-coding RNA, 354 nt
Filed under: uncultured bacterium
Lineage: Bacteria
Description: contains 16S-23S intergenic spacer region
Source: RNAcentral